RNAcentral lists this ribosomal RNA (1280 nucleotides) under uncultured bacterium. RNAcentral describes it as "bacterial SSU rRNA". It matches the Rfam family "Bacterial small subunit ribosomal RNA", at positions 93 to 1399 of the family's 1533-position model. The record is from RNAcentral.
GAGUGGCGGACGGGUGAGUAACGCGUGGGUAACCUGCCUCAUACAGGGGGAUAACAGUUAGAAAUGACUGCUAAUACCGCAUAAGACCACAGCACCGCAUGGUGCAGGGGUAAAAACUCCGGUGGUAUGAGAUGGACCCGCGUCUGAUUAGGUAGUUGGUGGGGUAACGGCCUACCAAGCCGACGAUCAGUAGCCGACCUGAGAGGGUGACCGGCCACAUGGGGACUGAGACACGGCCCAGACUCCUACGGGAGGCAGCAGUGGGGAAUAUUGCACAAUGGGGGAAACCCUGAUGCAGCGACGCCGCGUGGAGGAAGAAGGUCUUCGGAUUGUAAACUCCUGUUGUUGGGGAAGAUAAUGACGGUACCCAACAAGGAAGUGACGGCUAACUACGUGCCAGCAGCCGCGGUAAAACGUAGGUCACAAGCGUUGUCCGGAAUUACUGGGUGUAAAGGGAGCGCAGGCGGGAAGACAAGUUGGAAGUGAAAUCUAUGGGCUCAACCCAUAAACUGCUUUCAAAACUGUUUUUCUUGAGUAGUGCAGAGGUAGGCGGAAUUCCCGGUGUAGCGGUGGAAUGCGUAGAUAUCGGGAGGAACACCAGUGGCGAAGGCGGCCUACUGGGCACCAACUGACGCUGAGGCUCGAAAGUGUGGGUAGCAAACAGGAUUAGAUACCCUGGUAGUCCACACCGUAAACGAUGAUUACUAGGUGUUGGAGGAUUGACCCCUUCAGUGCCGCAGUUAACACAAUAAGUAAUCCACCUGGGGAGUACGACCGCAAGGUUGAAACUCAAAGGAAUUGACGGGGGCCCGCACAAGCAGUGGAGUAUGUGGUUUAAUUCGACGCAACGCGAAGAACCUUACCAAGUCUUGACAUCCCUUGACAGACAUAGAAAUAUGUUUUCUCUUCGGAGCAAGGAGACAGGUGGUGCAUGGUUGUCGUCAGCUCGUGUCGUGAGAUGUUGGGUUAAGUCCCGCAACGAGCGCAACCCUUAUGGUCAGUUACUACGCAAGAGGACUCUGGCCAGACUGCCGUUGACAAAACGGAGGAAGGUGGGGAUGACGUCAAAUCAUCAUGCCCUUUAUGACUUGGGCUACACACGUACUACAAUGGCGUUAAACAAAGAGAAGCAAGACCGCGAGGUGGAGCAAAACUCAGAAACAACGUCCCAGUUCGGACUGCAGGCUGCAACUCGCCUGCACGAAGUCGGAAUUGCUAGUAAUCGUGGAUCAGCAUGCCACGGUGAAUACGUUCCCGGGCCUUGUACUCACCGCCCGUCA